Oncorhynchus tshawytscha (Chinook salmon) is the source of this 5164-nucleotide long non-coding RNA. The record is from Ensembl. NCBI's taxonomy places the organism in Eukaryota, Metazoa, Chordata, Actinopteri, Salmoniformes, Salmonidae.
UCCCUAUGUAACCAACCAGUUACUAACCCAGUUACUAUCGGCCUUUAGCCUGAAGGGUUAACCUUCCUUUACCUUUUCCCUAUGUAACCAACCAGUUACUGAGCUAUCAGCCUUUUAGCUCAAAGGGCUAACCUCUGGUAAGGGUAUCUGGGGAGGCAUCGUCUCCUCUGCAGCCAUGCAGUCAAACUACUCUAGUUCUACUAUGUCUACAUCUAUUCUGCUAUAUCUAUAUCUAGGUAGAUAUCAUCAUCAUUCAGAUAUCGGUGUUACUCUGCUUCAAAUGCUUACAUUGACACAGUGUAAAUAGGACAUUCUAUACAAGGGAAAGUGGUGGUUUUCUACACCACAUCAUCUAACUCUGAAUCAACUAAUAUUAUUUUAUUUUUUACAUUGCUAAGUGUUGUUAAACAAAUCCUUAAAUUAAAAAUAAUAAAUACUGUAUGAUACUUUACAUCCGGUAGACAUUUUACAACAUGGUUUAAAUAUGUUGUCACAAUACAAAACCCACAAAAAAAAAAAAAAUACAAUAACACAUUUAAAAAUCAUGAAUAAAUGUAAAAUAAAAUGUUUAAAUUAAUAAAUGGCAGUCUCUUGGCUUUCUGUUAUGAGUCAUGAAUUUCCUUCAAGACCUGAGAUUGAUCUCUGAUUUGAGACAAGAGGUAUCACAGUUCAAUACAAUGAAUACAAUGGUUCCUGUUUUACAAUAUUCAUCGUGAAUAAUCAUUCAUAAUCAUACUCCAUUGAACAAUUUUUUUCCCAAACUAGACUUCCUGGUUAGCUAGUAUUAUGACAAGACAAAGAUCCAGUGAGAUGGAGAAAAUGAGAAUGAAAGUCACGAUGGAUUUUCCACAGCUGCCUAGAUGUCACUUGUGGAUCUCAACACCAAAAAACGUUUGACUCACACAGAGACGCAAGGCUACGCAAGAAAGAAAGCAAAUCCAUUUUUUUGUUGUGUUUUUUUUUUGUUGAGUUGAUCGCAAAUAGAUGCAAUGAUAAGUACACUUGGACAGAGAGUGACAACAAGAGUAGAUUCACCAUGGUUACGAUGUGUAAAUAAAUAAACAACAGACUGGUACCAGAACAUUCUUCUAGAACGUUCACUUCAGAUCAGUAAAUGUAUCCCGUGAGGUUUGCCUCAUCAUUGGCUGAAUUUACACAGGAUAACCCAAUUCUGAUAUUCUAUUCACUAAUUGGUCUUUUGACCAAUCAGAUCAGUUCAUUUGUCAAUAAUAGUGCAAAAUAUCAGAAUGGACGGACUGUGUAAACACAGCCACUAAAGAUCAGAAUGGGCUGCCUGUGUAAACACAGCCACUAAAGAUCAGAAUGGGCUGCCUGUGUAAACACAGCCACUAAAGAUCAGAAUGGGCUGCCUGUGUAAACACAGCCACUAAAAGAUCAGAAUGGGCUGCCUGUGUAAACACAGCCACUUGCAGGAUCACAGACCUAACUAAUACAGACGUAAUAAAUGCAGGCAUCAUCAGUGCCAAGGCCUGGGGCUGCAGGAAAACAACUAUGAUACUAAUGUAACCCGUACAUCAAUCUGGAUCAACUCCUUAGCCUUUUCAAUGUGAUUCUCAACACGUCAGUACCAUUCAGAGAGUGGUAGGUCACAUGUUCAAUGUAUUUCAAGGGGACGUGUAGGUUAUACCACAGGGUUCGCCUAAGAACGCAUUAAUCCAUCAUGCUGAAUGACGUACGGAGUGAGAACACUACACAUGGCUUUUCCUUCAAGGGACCUGAAUGGGAGUACAGGGCGCGGUCCGAAAUGGCACCCUUUAUAGUGCACUACUUUAGGACGCAGCCGACAGAGUCUCGAUCUUCUAUUCAACCACAGAGUCUCUACCUUCUAUCAACCACAGUCUCUAUCUUCUAUCAACCACACAGUCUCUAUCUUCUAUUCAACCAGAGUAUCUACCUUCUAUCAACCACAGUCUCUAUCUUCUAUCAACCACACAGGCUCUAUCUUCUAUUCAACCAGAAUCUCUAUUUUCUAUCAACCACAGAGUCUCUAUCUUCUAUCAACCAGAGUAUCUAUCUUCUAUUCAACCACAGAGUCUCUAUCUUCUAUUCAACCACAGGGUCUCUAUCUUCUAUUCAACCACAGGGUCUCUAUCUUUAUACUCAACCACAGAGUCUCUACCUUCUAUUCAACCACAGAGUCUCUACCUUCUAUUCAACCACAGAGUCUCUAUCUUCUAUUCAACCACAGAGUCUCUAUUUUCUAUCAACCACAGAUCUCUAUCUUCUAUUCAACCACAGAGUCUCUAUCUUCUAUUCAACCACAGAGUUUCUAUCUUCUAUUCAACCACAUAGUCUCUAUUUUCUAUAAACCACACAGUCUCUAUCUUCUAUUCAACCACAGAGUCUCUAUCUUCUAUCAACCACAGAGUCUCUAUCUUCUAUCAACCACAGAGUCUCUAUCUUCUAUCAACCACAGAGUCUUUAUCUUCUAUUCAACCACAGUCUCUAUCUUCUAUUCAACCACAGAGUCUCUAUCUUCUAAUCAACCACACAGUCUCUAACUUCUAUUCAACCACAGUCUCUAUCUUCUAUUCAACCACAGUCUCUAUUUUCUAUCAACCACAGAGUCUCUAUCUUCUAUCAACCACAGUCUCUAUCGUCUAUCAACCACAGAGUCUCUAUCUUCUAUCAACCACAGAGUCUCUAUCUUCUAUCAACCACAGAGUCUCUAUCUUCUAUCAACCACAGAGUCUCUAUUUUCUAUAAACCACAGAGUCUCUAUCUUCUAUCAACCACAGAGUCUCUAUCUUCUAUUCAACCACAGAGUCUCUAUUUUCUAUUCAACCACAGAGUCUCUAUCUUCUAUUCAACCACAGAGUCUAUAUCUUCUAUUCAACCACAGAGUCUCUAUCUUCUAUUCAACCACAGAGUCGCUAUCUUCUAUCAACCACAGAGUCUCUAUCUUUUAUUCAACCACAGAGUCUCUAUCUUCUAUCAACCACAGAGUCUCUAUCUUUUAUUCAAACAGAGUCUCUAUCUUCUAUUCAACCACAGAGUCUCUAUUUUCUAUCAACCACAGAGUCUCUAUCUUCUAUCAACCACAGUCUCUAUCUUCUAUCAACCACAGAGUCUCUAUCUUCUAUCAACCACAGAGUCUCUAUCUUCUAUCAACCACAGAGUCUCUAUCAUCUAUCAACCACAGAGUCUCUAUCUUCUAUUCAACCACAGUCUCUAUCUUCUAUCAACCACAGAGUCUCUAUCUUCUAUUCAACCACAGAGUCUCUAUCUUCUAUUCAACCCCAGAGUCUCUAUCUUCUAUUCAACCACAGAGUCUCUAUCUUCUAUCAACCACAAUCUCUAUCUUCUAUCAACCACACAGUCUCUAUCUUCUAUUCAACCACAGAGUCUCUAUCUUCUAUUCAACCACAUAGUCUCUAUUUUCUAUCAACCACAGAGUCUCUAUCUUCUAUCAACCACAGUCUCUAUCUUCUAUCAACCACAGAGUCUCUAUCUUCUAUCAACCACAGAGUCUUUAUCUUCUAUUCAACCACAGAGCCUCUAUCUUCUAUUCAACCACAGAGUCUCUAUCUUCUAUUAAACCACAGAGUCUCUAUCUUCUAUUCAACCACAGAGUCUCUAUCUUCUAAUCAACCACAGAGUCUCUAUCUUCUAUUCAACCACAGUCUCUAUCUUCUAUCAACCACAGAGUCUCUAUCUUCUAUCAACCACAGAGUCUUUAUCUUCUAUCAACCACAGUCUCUAUCAUCUAUCAACCACAGUCUCUAUCUUCUAUCAACCACACAGUCUCUAUCUUCUAUUCAACCACAGAGUCUCUAUCUUCUAUCAACCACAGAGUCUCUAUCUUCUAUCAACCACAGAGUCUCUAUCAUCUAUCAACCACAGAGUCUCUAUCUUCUAUUCAACCACAGUCUCUAUCUUCUAUCAACCACACAGUCUCUAUCAUCUAUCAACCACAGUCUCUAUCUUCUAUUCAACCACAGUCUCUAUCUUCUAUCAACCACACAGUCUCUAUCUUCUAUCAACCACACAGUCUCUAUCUUCUAUUCAACCACAGAGUCUCUAGCUUCUAUUCAACCACAGAGUCUCUAUCUUCUAUCAACCACAGAGUCUUUAUCUUCUAUUCAACCACAGAGUCUCUAUCUUCUAUUCAUCUGCAACACUUUAAUUUCAAAAAGAGGUAACCAGAGGUGUGCUUGCACUUCUUUGACAACAGUUAGUCAAACCUUUCGCUAGACACAAUCCACUUCAAUUCAUUUUCCUACUGACAUACUGUAUGACUGUCUGGGUGGGUGGGAGUCCCUAAGAAUGGGGAUACCCCACAACCAGGUCGUUGGGAACAAAACAGGAAGACAGCUACACCACCAUGCUUUACAGUGAGUGAGAUCCUUGGUUACAAAUGUUACAAAUGUCAUCAGAGAAAACAUAUUUUGAUUGUCAGUUCAACAUGAUUCUCUGGGUUGUUGUAAAUCCUCUAUGUAAAGCAGUUCAACAUGAUUCUCUGGGUUGUUGUAAAUCCUCUAUGUAAAACAGUUCAACAUGAUUCUCUGGGUUGUUGUAAAUCCUGUAUGUAAAGCAGUUCAACAUGCUUCUCUGGGUUGUUGUAAAUCCUCUAUGUAAAGCAGUUCAACAUGAUUCUCUGGGUUGUUGUAAAUCCUCUAUGUAAAACAGUUCAACAUGAUUCUCUGGGUUGUUGUAAAUCCUGUAUGUAAAGCAGUUCAACAUGCUUCUCUGGGUUGUUGUAAAUCCUCUAUGUAAAGCAGUUCAACAUGAUUCUCUGGGUUGUUGUAAAUCCUCUAUGUAAAGCAGUUCAUCAUGAUUCUCUGGGUUGUUGUAAAUCCUCUAUGUAAAGCAGUUCAACAUGAUUCUCUGGGUUGUUGUAAAUCCUCUAUGUAAAGCAGUUCAACAUGAUUCUCUGGGUUGUUGUAAAUCCCCUAUGUAAAGCAGUUCAACAUGAUUCUCUGGGUUGUUGUAAAUCCUCUAUGUAAAGCAGUUCAACAUGAUUCUCUGGGUUGUUGUAAAUCCUCUAUGUAAAGCAGUUCAUCAUGAUUCUCUGGGUUGUUGUAAAUCCUCUAUGUAAAGCAGUUCAACGUGAUUCUCUGGGUUGUUGUAAAUCCUCUAUGUAAAGCAGUUCAACAUGAUUCUCUGGGUUGUUGUAAAUCCUCUAUGUAAAGCAGUUCAACAU